RNAcentral lists this ribosomal RNA (478 nucleotides) under uncultured organism. RNAcentral's name for it is "partial 16S ribosomal RNA". It matches the Rfam family "Bacterial small subunit ribosomal RNA", at positions 330 to 799 of the family's 1533-position model. The record is from RNAcentral.
CGUACACUCCUGCGGGAGGCAGCAGUGGGGAAUAUUACACAAUGGGCGCAAGCCUGAUGCAGCCAUGCCGCGUGUAUGAAGAAGGCCUUCGGGUUGUAAAGUACUUUCAGCGGGGAGGAAGGCGAUAAGGUUAAUAACCUUGUUGAUUGACGUUACCCGCAGAAGAAGCACCGGCUAACUCCGUGCCAGCAGCCGCGGUAAUACGGAGGGUGCAAGCGUUAAUCGGAAUUACUGGGCGUAAAGCGCACGCAGGCGGUCUGUCAAGUCGGAUGUGAAAUCCCCGGGCUCAACCUGGGAACUGCAUUCGAAACUGGCAGGCUAGAGUCUUGUAGAGGGGGGUAGAAUUCCAGGUGUAGCGGUGAAAUGCGUAGAGAUCUGGAGGAAUACCGGUGGCGAAGGCGGCCCCCUGGACAAAGACUGACGCUCAGGUGCGAAAGCGUGGGGAGCAAACAGGAUUAGAAACCCCGGUAGUCCCAUG